This 250-nucleotide ribosomal RNA is filed under the name uncultured bacterium. RNAcentral's name for it is "partial 16S ribosomal RNA". It matches the Rfam family "Bacterial small subunit ribosomal RNA", at positions 524 to 773 of the family's 1533-position model. The record is from RNAcentral.
UACGUAGGUGGCAAGCGUUGUCCGGAUUUACUGGGCGUAAAGGAUGCGUAGGCGGAUUUUUAAGUCAGAUGUGAAGUACCCGGGCUCAACUUGGGUGCUGCAUUUGAAACUGGAGAUCUAGAGUGCGGGAGAGGAAAGUGGAAUUCCUAGUGUAGCGGUGAAAUGCGUAGAGAUUAGGAAGAACACCAGUGGCGAAGGCGACUUUCUGGACCGUAACUGACGCUGAGGCAUGAAAGCGUGGGGAGCAAAC